Molecule: ribosomal RNA, 460 nt
Filed under: uncultured bacterium
Lineage: Bacteria
Description: partial 16S ribosomal RNA
Rfam family: Bacterial small subunit ribosomal RNA
Source: RNAcentral
CCUACGGGAGGCAGCAGUGAGGAAUAUUGGUCAAUGGACGAGAGUCUGAACCAGCCAAGUAGCGUGAAGGAUGACUGCCCUAUGGGUUGUAAACUUCUUUUAUAUGGGAAUAAAACGUUCCACGUGUGGGAUUUUGUAUGUACCAUAUGAAUAAGGAUCGACUAACUCCGUGCCAGCAGCCGCGGUAAUACGGAGGAUCCGAGCGUUAUCCGGAUUUAUUGGGUUUAAAGGGAGCGUAGGUGGAUUGUCAAGUCAGUUGUGAAAGUUUGCGGCUCAACCGUAAAAUUGCAGUUGAAACUGGCAGUCUUGAGUACAGUAGAGGUGGGCGGAAUUCGUGGUGUAGCGGUGAAAUGCUUAGAUAUCACGAAGAACUCCGAUUGCGAAGGCAGUUCACUGGACUGCAACUGACACUGAGGCUCGAAAGUGUGGGUAUCAAACAGGAUUAGAUACCCUUGUAGUC